UGGGGAAUAUUGCACAAUGGGGGAAACCCUGAUGCAGCGACGCCGCGUGAGCGAAGAAGUAUCUCGGUAUGUAAAGCUCUAUCAGCAGGGAAGAAAAUGACGGUACCUGACUAAGAAGCCCCGGCUAACUACGUGCCAGCAGCCGCGGUAAUACGUAGGGGGCAAGCGUUAUCCGGAUUUACUGGGUGUAAAGGGAGCGCAGGCGGCGCGGUAAGUCUGAUGUGAAAGCCCGGGGCUCAACCCCGGGACUGCAUUGGAAACUGUCGUGCUGGAGUGUCGGAGGGGCAAGUGGAAUUCCUAGUG
This 303-nucleotide ribosomal RNA is filed under the name uncultured bacterium. Its description in RNAcentral is "bacterial SSU rRNA". It matches the Rfam family "Bacterial small subunit ribosomal RNA", at positions 355 to 675 of the family's 1533-position model. The record is from RNAcentral.